AAUAGCUCAAAUUUGAAAGCUGGCGUCUUCGACGUCCGCGUUGUGAUUUGUAGAGGAUGCUUCGGCGAAGACUCCUGCCUAAGUCCCCUGGAACGGGGCGUCAUAGAGGGUGAGAAUCCCGUAUGUGGCGGGCAGUCUAAGCCAUGUGAAGCUCCUUCGACGAGUCGAGUUGUUUGGGAAUGCAGCUCUAAAUGGGAGGUAAAUUUCUUCUAAAGCUAAAUAUUGGCCAGAGACCGAUAGCGCACAAGUAGAGUGAUCGAAAGAUGAAAAGCACUUUGGAAAGAGAGUUAAAAAGUACGUGAAAUUGUUGAAAGGGAAGCGCUUGCAACCAGACUCGCUCGUAGUUGCUCAGCCGGCCUCUUGGCCGGUGUACUCUUCUACGAUCGGGCCAGCAUCAGUUCGGGCGGCAGGAUAAAGGUGUCGGGAAUGUAGCACCCUUCGGGGUGUGUUAUAGCCCGGCGCGGAAUGCUGCCAGCCUGGACUGAGGAUCUCGCUUCGGCAAGGAUGCUGGCGUAAUGGUUGUAAGCGGCCCGUCUUGAAACACGGACCAAGGAGUCUAACAUCUAUGCGAGUGUUUGGGUGUCAAACCCAUGCGCGUAAUGAAAGUGAACGGAGGUGGGAACCCCUCACGGGGUGCACCAUCGACCGAUCCUGAUGUCUUCGGAUGGAUUUGAGUAAGAGCAUAGCUGUUGGGACCCGAAAGAUGGUGAACUAUGCCUGAAUAGGGUGAAGCCAGAGGAAACUCUGGUGGAGGCUCGCAGCGGUUCUGACGUGCAAAUCGAUCGUCAAAUUUGGGUAUAGGGGCGAAAGACUAAUCG
Molecule: ribosomal RNA, 818 nt
Filed under: Phyllosticta capitalensis
Lineage: Eukaryota; Fungi; Ascomycota; Dothideomycetes; Botryosphaeriales; Phyllostictaceae
Description: eukaryotic LSU rRNA
Rfam family: Eukaryotic large subunit ribosomal RNA
Source: RNAcentral